RNAcentral lists this ribosomal RNA (253 nucleotides) under uncultured bacterium. Its description in RNAcentral is "partial 16S ribosomal RNA". It matches the Rfam family "Bacterial small subunit ribosomal RNA", at positions 524 to 776 of the family's 1533-position model. The record is from RNAcentral.
UACGGAGGGGGCGAGCGUUGUUCGGAAUUACUGGGCGUAAAGGGCGCGUAGGCGGUCCAUCAAGUCAGGCGUGAAAUCCCUGGGCUCAACCCAGGACGUGCGCUUGAGACUGGCGGGCUUGAGCAUAGGAGAGGAUGGUGGAAUUCCCAGUGUAGAGGUGAAAUUCGUAGAUAUUAGGAAGAACACCAGUGGCGAAGGCGGCUCACUGGCCCGGUACUGACGCUGAGGCGCGAAAGCGUGGGGAGCAAACAGG